UUAUAGGGCAAUCAGCAUAAGA
This 22-nucleotide unclassified non-coding RNA is filed under the name Mus musculus (house mouse). RNAcentral describes it as "oocyte_clustered_small_RNA5613". Lineage: Eukaryota; Metazoa; Chordata; Mammalia; Rodentia; Muridae. The record is from RNAcentral.